This 3176-nucleotide long non-coding RNA is filed under the name Lactuca sativa (garden lettuce). Its description in RNAcentral is "long non-coding RNA (LSAT_LNC010297)". The record is from RNAcentral. Lineage: Eukaryota; Viridiplantae; Streptophyta; Magnoliopsida; Asterales; Asteraceae.
AAGUGUCUUGGACGUUUUUUUUGUGUUAUUUCAAGAGUUUCCUUAAUUUUCAUUUACUAGUUUUAAUGAAUAAUUGGUUGGUUGGCUUGUAACCACCAAAUUUGUAAUAAAGGCUUCAUAUAAAGCCAAGUUUAUGCAUGGAAAAAGGAAUAGACGAAUUUUUAAGAAAAAAACCUUUGUUCAAUUGGAAUUAUUGUUAUAAUUCACAAAUUAUCUUGUUAGGACGUGUUCUUGACUUGAUACGAACUCAAUCCAAUAGGUCUUGGAUUGUUUUCACCGGUAUACAACUUAAUAGGUCUUGAGUUGUUACUAAUCUAUCCAUUUCUUUCCAUUCAUAUAUCAUUUGUGGUUACUAUUCUCUCUUAAUUUACCUAAACACUACCCUACUCACCAAAUCAAGCCCAUACAUGCAUCAUAAGUGGUAUCAGAGCCUAGUUCCGAUUGGGUGUAACUAAGUUCUUGUUCUGAAUUCAGUUGUUGUCCAAAAAUGUUGCGCAAGCUAUAUGAUGAAGAAGAGGAGGUAGAAGAUUCUGGUCCCAUCUACGACACCGAUGGAGAAGGGGAAUUUUGUGAAAGAAUAAGUUUCUUGGUUGAAGAGGAAUUUAUUGAAGAACUUGACGAAGAAACUAAUUUCGUGAUCGGAGAUGAAUUUGUUGAAGCAAUUGUGGAGGAAAUCAAUUUUGUUGAUAUGGACAAAAUUAUUGAAGAAAUUGUGAUUUUUGUUGAACAACAAAUUUCAUUCCAAGAGCUUACAACCACGAGAACCAAUGACUAUAAGUGCCACAAAAGUUCAUGUUCUCAUAUCUUUUAUGAACAUAACUCCUUUUCUAAAGAUCUUAAAGAAAUCCAAAUUGGAAGCUUCAUUGAUCAAGAAGAUUUAUUUGUUUUUCAUCUUCAUGUUCGUUUCAAAGUGUGGGAAAUUUUUACACUUUGGAGACCAUGGAAUGCUUAUAUUUUACAUUUUGAAGACCUUGGUGAGAGGAGGAAGCAUGGUGAGAUGUUGGAUUUUACUAAUUAUGAUCUUAAUAAUGAUGUUUUUGUUUUGUCUUCAUUCAUUGAUCAAAAGGAGAAAAAUGACUUGCGUAUUACUUUUGAUAAAAAGUUUUGUGCAAUUAGAGAUGAAGACUUUUCAUUCGUGGCUCAAAAACAAGAAGACGAAUUAUUUUUGGAUGAUGGUAGAAUUUUGUACCCUCCAAAAGACGAUAUGAUGAUUUCCAAAACAAUAUGUGUUCAUGGUGGUAGCAAUCAGUCACCAAAAGAGGCAUUGUGUGGCAAUUCUUAUGCCAAUUUUCUAUGUUGUCCACAAACAAAACAUAUUUUCGUUAAUUCUUCAUUCAUUGUUCAAAAACACCAAGACCGAUGGCGUGAAGUUUAUUGGGAACGAAAGAAGAAGGAUGGUAUCCAUCUUUUUACAAACCAUCUUUCUAAGAGAAAAUAUGAAGAUACAAGUCCUAAUUAUUUACAUAGGAGGGAGCUCGUGAUGUUUGGACUGAUAUUCUUUUGGUGUCUCUUUAAUUGGGAAGUCGUGAUAUUGGGGCGUGCUGCUCAUCAACUUACAAAUACAAAUGAUGUUCCAUUUGUUAAAAUGACUGCAAUUAACCAUUUAAAUUAUUGCAAGGUUAAUUUGCAGGGUCGAGUUCAUGGGAAGGUACGAAAAUGGUUUUUGAUCCACAAAUUGAAGAUACGGUUAGGAUUCAAUUCUAUGAGUUCUUUGAGUUGUUUGAAGAACAUGUGUAUUUGGAGAAGAAACCAGCUUGGAGUAAAUAAAAUGUCACAUUCUGCAAUAAAAAAUUGUUUUCAAGACCUGUUGUCAUGGAAGGUUUGCAUGGGAGAACAACACAAUUUGGUUCUUACCGAAUUGAGGACAAUUCCUUUCGAAGAAGGAGGGAAUGAUACAUGUGUGGAAGUGACAAAUUCUGAAAAUGAUAAUGGUUACAAGGUGGAUUUGGGAGGAGACCAUGGAAUGCAUGCUACCUUUAAUGUGGGAGAGCUUUCACCUUAUCUUGAUGAUGAUGGACUUGAUGAAUUGAGGUCAAUUCCUUUCAAAGGGGGAGGGGAUGAUCCAUGCAUGGAUUAUGAAAGCCCAAAAGGUGAUGGAUUAGUGAUUACUAGUGGGCUAGAAGGUGGCUUGGGCUCAAUGGUUGGGUUAUGCAUGGUAACCCACAAAUUGAAUUAGGGUUGCAUGAAGGCUAGGGCAACAUUUUUAAGGAUUCAUAAGUGCUACAAACGUUACUUUUUGCUUCAUAAAGCCUCCUAGCCGUUUUUAUCACUCUUUGGUGCAUUAGGGUUACACUUUAAUGCUUCUGAUGGCUCAUUAAUGCUUCUUAUGGCUCCUUAAUGAAGCAUAGACGUUUUUUCUUCAUCCUCAAGUGUCUUGGACGUUUUUUUUGUGUUAUUUCAAGAGUUUCCUUAAUUUUCAUUUACUAGUUUUAAUGAAUAAUUGGUUGGUUGGCUUGUAACCACCAAAUUUGUAAUAAAGGCUUCAUAUAAAGCCAAGUUUAUGCAUGGAAAAAGGAAUAGACGAAUUUUUAAGAAAAAAACCUUUGUUCAAUUGGAAUUAUUGUUAUAAUUCACAAAUUAUCUUGUUAGGACGUGUUCUUGACUUGAUACGAACUCAAUCCAAUAGGUCUUGGAUUGUUUUCACCGGUAUACAACUUAAUAGGUCUUGAGUUGUUACUAAUCUAUCCAUUUCUUUCCAUUCAUAUAUCAUUUGUGGUUACUAUUCUCUCUUAAUUUACCUAAACACUACCCUACUCACCAAAUCAAGCCCAUACAUGCAUCAUAAGUGGUAUCAGAGCCUAGUUCCGAUUGGGUGUAACUAAGUUCUUGUUCUGAAUUCAGUUGUUGUCCAAAAAUGUUGCGCAAGCUAUAUGAUGAAGAAGAGGAGGUAGAAGAUUCUGGUCCCAUCUACGACACCGAUGGAGAAGGGGAAUUUUGUGAAAGAAUAAGUUUCUUGGUUGAAGAGGAAUUUAUUGAAGAACUUGACGAAGAAACUAAUUUCGUGAUCGGAGAUGAAUUUGUUGAAGCAAUUGUGGAGGAAAUCAAUUUUGUUGAUAUGGACAAAAUUAUUGAAGAAAUUGUGAUUUUUGUUGAACAACAAAUUUCAUUCCAAGAGCUUACAACCACGAGAACCAAUGACUAUAAGUGCCACAAAAGUUCAUGUUCUCAUAUCUUUU